RNAcentral lists this transfer RNA (61 nucleotides) under Lepidonotopodium sp. YZ-2018. RNAcentral's name for it is "tRNA-Asp". The record is from RNAcentral. Lineage: Eukaryota; Metazoa; Annelida; Polychaeta; Phyllodocida; Polynoidae.
GAAACCCUAGUUAAAAUAACAUUAUCUUGUCAAGAUAAAAUUACCUUGAAGGUGAGUUUCU